Molecule: ribosomal RNA, 442 nt
Filed under: uncultured bacterium
Lineage: Bacteria
Description: partial 16S ribosomal RNA
Rfam family: Bacterial small subunit ribosomal RNA
Source: RNAcentral
CCUACGGGUGGCUGCAGCAAGGAAUCUUCCGCAAUGGGCGAAAGCCUGACGGAGCAACGCCGCGUGUGGGAUGACGCCUUUCGGGGUGUAAACCACUUUUCUCAGGGAAGAAGCCCUGACGGUACCUGAGGAAGAAGGACCGGCUAACUACGUGCCAGCAGCCGCGGUAAUACGUAGGGUCCGAGCGUUGUCCGGAGUUACUGGGCGUAAAGCGCGCGCAGGCGGCGGAGUAAGCAUGGCGUGAAAGCCCCAGGCUCAACCUGGGAGGGGCGUCGUGGACUGCUUCGCUUGAGGGCGGUAGGGGCUGGUGGAAUGCCUGGUGUAGUGGUGAAAUGCGUAGAGAUCAGGCGGAACACCCGUGGCGAAGGCGGCCAGCUGGGCCGUCCCUGACGCUGAGGCGCGAAGGCGUGGGGAGCGAACGGGAUUAGAUACCCUUGUAGUC